Molecule: long non-coding RNA, 218 nt
Filed under: Lathyrus oleraceus (garden pea)
Lineage: Eukaryota; Viridiplantae; Streptophyta; Magnoliopsida; Fabales; Fabaceae
Description: Pisum sativum (pea) long non-coding RNA (PSAT_LNC005824)
Source: RNAcentral
ACAAAAGAAUAUUUCCUUAUUUAGCCCAAUUGGUGUAUGGUGUGCAUGCAUGAAAAUAUAUGUUUUUUGGUCAUAAAAAGCAUGGAAAGAAAGGUGGCAUGCAUGUGGGAAAGUCAUGAAGCAAGCAAAAGACAAAACAAUACUUAAACUCAAUGACCUUCAUAAUGUUUGGGAUUAGGGAUUAGCAAUGUUCAAGCCAACAUAACACUAUGGUUCCU